RNAcentral lists this non-coding RNA (32 nucleotides) under Callithrix jacchus (white-tufted-ear marmoset). RNAcentral also lists the same sequence under 2 other names. The record is from RNAcentral. Lineage: Eukaryota; Metazoa; Chordata; Mammalia; Primates; Cebidae.
UGCCGCCUUGCUGGGGACUUGAGCCUCUCAGC